Haliotis rubra (blacklip abalone) is the source of this 821-nucleotide long non-coding RNA. RefSeq lists it as uncharacterized. The transcript is spliced from 5 exons. NCBI's taxonomy places the organism in Eukaryota, Metazoa, Mollusca, Gastropoda, Lepetellida, Haliotidae. The record is from RefSeq and is a predicted model, not a curated record.
UCGGUCGGUUGAGAAGAUCUAGGAUGUAACACAUUUCUGUUUAAUAUUAUGUGAUUGGGGCUCUAACAGACGAGUGGAAUAGACGUGUGGAAUAGACGUGGAUAGCUGUUGUGUGUAUUUGUUGUGCUUGGGGGUACUUUUAACUUUAUUUCCCCUCAUGUGCAUUUUCUUCACACCCGACAAGUUGUUCAAAAAAAACCAGCUUGCUGAGGGAGUACACUAGUGGUUCCGGUACCUGGAAGCUCUCCUGUGGAAAGUGUCGACCAUGGCCUUAUCAAGGGCUCUCAUCUGCCCUUUGUUGCUGAUUGCAUUGUUACAUUGUGUUCAAUCUCAAAACAAACCACCAAAGAUUACGGAACCAGAGGCAUCACAGACUUUUGAUGUUAGCACAACUGAUGAUGCACCGUUUGUCUUAGAAUGCAAGGCGGAAGGGGAACCUAAACCCCAAUACCGCUGGGAGUUUAAUGGGGGAUCCGGCAGAGGGAGUAGCUUUUGCUUCAGAUCCAAUCACUGGAAAAUUGACUAUCACCGGCUUCACAGACCGAGAGGAAGGAAGUUACCAAUGUUUUGCUGAGAAUGAGAUAUCCACCGGCAUCAUUGCAGCUGCUAUGUCCCCUGUCAUCACGCUGCGUGAAAUCAAGAUGGGAGAUAGUUGGCCAGAUCCCCAGAUCAGAGAAGCAAAAGUUAAUGAAGGGUUUUACCUGAAGCUUGAGUGUGAAAAUCAGCCUAUAUCUGUCCCCACAGCUGAAUAUACAUGGUACUUAGUGUCUGGAAGUGAAACAAAGGCAGAUGUUAAACAUUCUGACAGGAUAUAUACUGAC